AAAAACAGUUAUUAUUACAUCACCCGAAUAUAAAAGAUCUAAGUGUAUAUUAAGUUAUUAGACUAUAUUGUUGUGUUCUGUGGCAUUAGUUACUAAGACAAUACCUUAGAGGUGAAAGGCCUCCAAUUUUGUAGAUAACUGGAUAAAUGUUAAAUAUAUUAAGUUUAAAAUAAACUUACAUAGUGAUAAGAUUUUGUAAGGUAUAAAUUUUUGUGUAAUUUAUUGCUGCCAGAGACUAAUAAUUUUAGGCACAUCUUUGACGACUAAUAAUGUUACAAUAUAACAAUUAUAUAUCAACAUUUUACUGUACUAUGUCUCCCUAGUAAGUAAAUAAUGUAUAAAUAAGUAUAUAUAAAUUAAAUUUUAAAUAAGGAACUCGGCAAAUAAAGAGUACGACUGUUUAACAAAAACAUAGCCGGUAGUUAUAUAAUUAUCGGUGAUACCUGCCCAGUGAAUUUUCAACGGCCGCAGUACUAUGACUGUGCAAAGGUAGCAUAAUCAUUUGGCUUUUAAUUGAAGUCUGGCAUGAAAGGAUAAACGUACUUUAGCUGUCUACAUACAAAAUUUAUUAAAAUUAUUUAUAGGGUGAAAAUACCCUAGUUAAGAAAAAAAGACGAGAAGACCCUUAGAAUUUUAAGCAGAAGCCAACUCUGGUAGGGCGUGAUUUUUGUUGGGGCAACAUUUUUUCAGGAGAACAAAAGAUUUAUAUUAAAACUACAAAACGAAUGUGUUUAAUAAAGUAAAAAUUACCUAAGGGAUAACAGCAUAAUUUUAAGUAAAGAUUGUGACCUCGAUGUUGGAUUAGGAACUAUUAAGGCUAGUCGUUUUAAUAUAAUAGGUUCUGUUCGAACUUUAUUUCCUA
RNAcentral lists this ribosomal RNA (862 nucleotides) under Montenegrina skipetarica rugosa. Its description in RNAcentral is "partial 16S ribosomal RNA". The stretch from base 353 to 599 matches the Rfam family "Archaeal large subunit ribosomal RNA", at positions 1787 to 2143 of the family's 2987-position model. The record is from RNAcentral. Lineage: Eukaryota; Metazoa; Mollusca; Gastropoda; Stylommatophora; Clausiliidae.